Molecule: transfer RNA, 72 nt
Filed under: Candidatus Omnitrophota bacterium
Lineage: Bacteria; Pseudomonadati; Candidatus Omnitrophota
Description: Candidatus Omnitrophica bacterium (groundwater metagenome) tRNA-Ile
Rfam family: tRNA
About the family: Transfer RNA (tRNA) molecules are approximately 80 nucleotides in length. Their secondary structure includes four short double-helical elements and three loops (D, anti-codon, and T loops).
Source: RNAcentral
GGGCCGGUAGCUCAGUGGCAGAGCAGCUGGCUCAUAACCAGUUGGUCGGACGUUCGAUCCGUCCCCGGCCCA